GAUGAACGCUGACAGAAUGCUUAACACAUGCAAGUCAACUUGAACUUCGGUUUGGGUGGCGGACGGGUGAGUAACGCGUAAAGAACUUGCCUCACAGAUAGGGACAACAUUUGGAAACGAAUGCUAAUACCUGAUAUUAUGAUUAUAUGGCAUCGUAUAAUUAUGACAGCUAUAUGCGCUGUGAGAGAGCUUUGCGUCCCAUUAGCUAGUUGGAGAGGUAACGGCUCACCAAGGCGAUGAUGGGUAGCCGGCCUGAGAGGGUGAUCGGCCACAAGGGGACUGAGACACGGCCCUUACUCCUACGGGAGGCAGCAGUGGGGAAUAUCGGACAAUGGACCAAGAGUCUGAUCCAGCAAUUCUGUGUGCACGAUGAAGUUUUUCGGAAUGUAAAGUGCUUUCAGUUGGGAAGAAAAAAAUGACGGUACCAACAGAAGAAGUGACGGCUAAAUACGUG
RNAcentral lists this ribosomal RNA (454 nucleotides) under uncultured bacterium. Its description in RNAcentral is "partial 16S ribosomal RNA". It matches the Rfam family "Bacterial small subunit ribosomal RNA", at positions 28 to 507 of the family's 1533-position model. The record is from RNAcentral.